CCUACGGGAGGCAGCAGUGAGGAAUAUUGGUCAAUGGGCGCAACCCUGAACCAGCCAAGUCGCGUGAGGGAAGACGGCCCUACGUGUUGUAAACCUCUUUUGCCGGGGAGAAAACCUGAGCACGUGUGCCCAGGCGGCGAGUACCCGGAGAGACAGCAUCGGCUAACUCCGUGCCAGCAGCCGCGGGAAUACGGAGGAAUCGAGCGUUAGCCGGAUUUGUUUGGUUUAAAGGGUGCGUAUGCGGGGGGUUAAGUCAGCAGUGAAAAUUCCAGGCCCACACCCGGCCGAGCGGUGGGAACUGGGAGUCUUGAGUGGGCGAGAGGUAAGUGGAAUGCGUGGUGUAGCGGUGAAAUGCGUAGAUAUCACGCAGAACGCCGGUUGCGAAGGCAGCAUACCGG
RNAcentral lists this ribosomal RNA (398 nucleotides) under uncultured bacterium. Its description in RNAcentral is "partial 16S ribosomal RNA". It matches the Rfam family "Bacterial small subunit ribosomal RNA", at positions 338 to 732 of the family's 1533-position model. The record is from RNAcentral.